AUCAGGGCCAGCUUCUGCUGCUGUGGCUGCUGGGAGCAGAGGAUUUGUGAGAUGUUGCCAGAGGCAGCCUGGGCACUCCAUGGAAAUUUGACACCUUGCUGUCCGACAGGGGGAGUGUGAGUGGAUGUCAUCCAAACGGCGUCUAUCUCCAUUCUCGUUUGCCUCUGGAAUGGGCUGCCCCAGACUGACACAGACACUGGAGAGAGUGAGGGAGAGCAGCAGCAGCCGGAUGGAUGUCAUUGUGGGAGAGGAGUUCCUGCAGCUUUCAUGGGAAAGUAAAGGACAGGGGAGAGCAAUGGAACAAAACCAACAACAAUUACAGCGUACCCAGUAACUCAGGAAGAAGCCUGGUAGUUGCUGACAGAAACCAGCCGCCAGAUCUGCAUGGAUGCUCCUGCCCCUUUUCUUCAUCUGCCACUAGCAUUUAACUGCUCUCCAGGGUGCUAUCCUGAAACCAGGAUCAGAA
Long non-coding RNA from Mauremys mutica (yellowpond turtle), 466 nucleotides. RefSeq lists it as uncharacterized. The transcript is spliced from 3 exons. NCBI's taxonomy places the organism in Eukaryota, Metazoa, Chordata, Testudines, Geoemydidae. The record is from RefSeq and is a predicted model, not a curated record.